GGAUCGAGAAUUUAAAAAAUUAUAGCUGGUGGAUUGCGUGCUAGAAAGUUGUUCGAUAAGAGUGCUUUGUUAGAGCCCAGAACGAGGAGGAUUGGUCAUUAAGUUCCCAAAAGAUAAUCCGCUUUGGAAUAAUACUUUGGGCAAUAGCCUGCCACCUUCUUAUGCUACAAGUGGGCCCGGAUUGGUUCAGUGGACUUCAAACCUUAGCUUGAUCUGGUUGACGCUACAGUCUCCACCUAUUAGAAAAAGCAUGGGAUUGGGUUGGGUUAUCGGGAAAGCUAAGGCCCCAUCCC
Molecule: long non-coding RNA, 293 nt
Filed under: Elaeis guineensis (African oil palm)
Lineage: Eukaryota; Viridiplantae; Streptophyta; Magnoliopsida; Arecales; Arecaceae
Description: long non-coding RNA (EGUI_LNC079060)
Source: RNAcentral